Molecule: ribosomal RNA, 468 nt
Filed under: uncultured bacterium
Lineage: Bacteria
Description: partial 16S ribosomal RNA
Rfam family: Bacterial small subunit ribosomal RNA
Source: RNAcentral
GACGAACGCUGGCGGCGUGCUUAACACAUGCAAGUCGAACGGAAAGGCCCUGCUUUUGUGGGGCGCUCGUGUGGCGAACGGGUGAGUAACACGUGAGUAACCUGCCCUUGACUUUGGGAUAACUUCAGGAAAAUCGGGCUAAUACCGGGUAGGAGCUCCUGCUGCACGGUGGGGGAUGGAAAGAUUCGGCGGUUGGGUAUGGACUCGCGGCUUAUCAGCUUGUUGGUGGGGUUGUGGCUUACCAAGGCUUCGACGGGUAGCCGGCCUGAGAGGGUGACCGGCCACAUUGGGACUGAGAUACGGCCCAGACUCCUACGGGAGGCAGCGGUGGGGAAUAUUACAGAGUGGGCGGAAGCCUGAUGCGGCAACGCCGCGUGCGGGAUAACGGCCUUCGGGUUGUAAACCGAUUUCGCCGUUGACGAAGCGUGAGUGACGGUAAUUGGUAAAGAAGCACCGGCUAACUACGUG